GCGCGUCUGUCCGGUAUCGUCCAAGUCUCCAUGAAUGGGGCCAGCAACCCAGAGAGGGUGUCAGGCCCGUGGGACGAGCCGCGACCGUGUAUUGGGUCUCUCCUUAGAGUCGGGUUGCUUGAGAGUGCAGCCCUAAGCGGGAGGUAAACUCCUUCUAAGGCUAAAUACGGCCACGAGACCGAUAGCGAACAAGUACCGCGAGGGAAAGUUGAAAAGAACUUUGAAGAGAGAGUUCAAUAGUGCGUGAAACCGUUCAGGGGGUUAAACGGGUGGGCCCUCGAAGGUCGAACGCCCCCUACUCCUGUUCCUGUAGCGCUGGCACGUGCUGCUUUUCGAUCUCGCUACGAGACGGAGCUUGGUGCGGUAUGCCGGACUGCAGGGGCCGCUAGUUAGGGGGCCAGUAGGACUCCGCAACCGGCUGGGUUUUAAGUCGUCAGAAGGGUUCUGGAGGAAGCCUCCUCUGGGGGUGAAAUCCGGGAUUCCGGGCGAUCUUCCCGGCCGUGAACCAGAAUUCCCCCGUCUGGCGUCUGGGACGAGUUCUGGCAACAGGACUGUCGGUUCUGGGCGUCACCGUGGGGACACCGCGGAGAGUAGAGUCGGGUCCCACCCGACCCGUCUUGAAACACGGACCAAGGAGUCUAACAUGUGCGCGAGUCGUCGGGUACUACUAAACCCGAAGGCGCAAUGAAAGUGAAGACUGUGCCUCGUCGCCGGUCUAGGGGAGAUCCCGUUCUGCUUCGGUAGCUCGGGCGCAUCCCCGGGGCGUCGAAGCCGCGUUGCCGGCUAGACGAACCAAGAGCGUACACGUUGGGACCCGAAAGAUGGUGACCUAUGCCUGGCCAG
This 843-nucleotide ribosomal RNA is filed under the name Cyzicus californicus. RNAcentral's name for it is "partial large subunit ribosomal RNA". It matches the Rfam family "Eukaryotic large subunit ribosomal RNA", at positions 161 to 844 of the family's 3401-position model. Lineage: Eukaryota; Metazoa; Arthropoda; Branchiopoda; Diplostraca; Cyzicidae. The record is from RNAcentral.